CAGGCCGCCGCCAUAGCCGCUCCCCGGGCAACGAAGGAGGAGAAACCGUCGAAUUUUCUCUCUUUUUUUACCCCUGUCUAAAAAGGGAGAUUCAGAAAAAGAAAAAAAAAAGAAAAAGAUAGAUUGAUAGAGAGAAAGAACGAGGGUUGUCGUUUUAAGUAGUGCGUGUCAAAAAAGAAAAGAAAAAAAACAAGAAGGAAAAGAAAAAAGAAUGAAAUUAUAAUGUGAUAUUCUGAACAAAGACGAAGUGGUGCAAGCUUACGUGUCGACUACUAGGUGCAGUGUCGAAAGGAAGAGUUAACGGCGCGCGCGAGAUGGUGCGCGAUAAACUAAUACACAUACGUACUCACAUAUGUCGUUUAAAUGCGACCAACCAAGAAGAACUUGUUAGAUACAUAAACGUAUAGGAACGAACGUACGAACGAACGUACGAACGAACGUACGAAC
Polistes dominula (European paper wasp) is the source of this 447-nucleotide long non-coding RNA. NCBI's taxonomy places the organism in Eukaryota, Metazoa, Arthropoda, Insecta, Hymenoptera, Vespidae. The record is from RefSeq and is a predicted model, not a curated record.